GACGAACGCUGGCGGCGUGCUUAACACAUGCAAGUCGAACGGAAAGGCCCUGCUUUUGUGGGGUGCUCGAGUGGCGAACGGGUGAGUAACACGUGAGUAACCUGCCCUUGACUUUGGGAUAACUUCAGGAAACUGGGGCUAAUACCGGAUAGGAGCUCCUGCUGCAUGGUGGGGGUUGGAAAGUUUCGGCGGUUGGGGAUGGACUCGCGGCUUAUCAGCUUGUUGGUGGGGUAGUGGCUUACCAAGGCUUUGACGGGUAGCCGGCCUGAGAGGGUGACCGGCCACAUUGGGACUGAGAUACGGCCCAGACUCCUACGGGAGGCAGCAGUGGGGAAUAUUGCACAAUGGGCGGAAGCCUGAUGCAGCAACGCCGCGUGCGGGAUGACGGCCUUCGGGUUGUAAACCGCUUUCGCCUGUGACGAAGCGUGAGUGACGGUAAUGGGUAAAGAAGCACCGGCUAACUACGUGCCAGCAGCCGCGGUGAUACGUAGGGUGCGAGCGUUGUCCGGAUUUAUUGGGCGUAAAGGGCUCGUAGGUGGUUGAUCGCGUCGGAAGUGUAGUCUUGGGGCUUAACCCUGAGCGUGCUUUCGAUACGGGUUGACUUGAGGAAGGUAGGGGAGAAUGGAAUUCCUGGUGGAGCGGUGGAAUGCGCAGAUAUCAGGAGGAACACCAGUGGCGAAGGCGGUUCUCUGGGCCUUUCCUGACGCUGAGGAGCGAAAGCGUGGGGAGCGAACAGGCUUAGAUACCCUGGUAGUCCACGCUGUAAACGGUGGGUACUAGGUGUGGGGUCCAUUCCACGGGUUCCGUGCCGUAGCUAACGCUUUAAGUACCCCGCCUGGGGAGUACGGCCGCAAGGCUAAAACUCAAAGGAAUUGACGGGGCCCCGCACAAGCGGCGGAGCAUGCGGAUUAAUUCGAUGCAACGCGUAGAACCUUACCUGGGUUUGACAUGGAUCGGGAGUGCUCAGAGAUGGGUGUGCCUCUUUUGGGGUCGGUUCACAGGUGGUGCAUGGCUGUCGUCAGCUCGUGUCGUGAGAUGUUGGGUUAAGUCCCGCAACGAGCGCAACCCUUGUUCACUGUUGCCAGCACGUUAUGGUGGGGACUCAGUGGAGACCGCCGGGGUCAACUCGGAGGAAGGUGGGGAUGACGUCAAGUCAUCAUGCCCCUUAUGUCCAGGGCUUCACGCAUGCUACAAUGGCUGGUACAGAGAGUGGCGAGCCUGUGAGGGUGAGCGAAUCUCGGAAAGCCGGUCUCAGUUCGGAUUGGGGUCUGCAACUCGACCUCAUGAAGUCGGAGUCGCUAGUAAUCGCAGAUCAGCAACGCUGCGGUGAAUACGUUCCCGGG
RNAcentral lists this ribosomal RNA (1343 nucleotides) under uncultured bacterium. Its description in RNAcentral is "16S ribosomal RNA". It matches the Rfam family "Bacterial small subunit ribosomal RNA", at positions 28 to 1378 of the family's 1533-position model. The record is from RNAcentral.